Sphaeramia orbicularis (orbiculate cardinalfish) is the source of this 1617-nucleotide long non-coding RNA. RefSeq lists it as uncharacterized. The record is from RefSeq and is a predicted model, not a curated record. NCBI's taxonomy places the organism in Eukaryota, Metazoa, Chordata, Actinopteri, Kurtiformes, Apogonidae. The transcript has 3 exons.
AAUUACAGCUGACAGAGUGGUGUGAAGUAAAAGUUUGGCUGCAGUGCUGCUUCACAGUGACCUGAUGGGAUGUGGUGCGUUGGCCGUUCUCAUUCUCACGGCUUUCUGUAAAUGAUGUACCAGGGAAGUGUUGGUGCUAAUGGUCUCUACAGCACAGCUCCAGUACUGACUGUGUUUAGAGAAGACAUUUUCUGUGGCUACACCAAGAGUUUGAUUCAAAUGACAUAAUUUAAAGGUAAUGUUGCUAAACAUUAACAAAGUGUAUGGAAACAUUAGAACCUGAUAAAUGUAAUAAACUAAAUGAAAGCUGAAAUUAAAAAGAAGUAGAAAGUAGCAGGAAUGUCUGCAUAAGUUCUCAUUUGCCCAGGUCAUUGUUCUUCUAGGUUCAACUGGACUCGUUUCACUCCUUUGAAAAUAUUUCGUCUCUCAUCCAAUAGACUUCUUCAGUUCUAAUAGCUGGUGGGGGUAAUUGGACUCAUACAGUGGGUACAGAAAGUAUUCAGACCCCCUUAAAUUUUUCAGUCUUUGUUAUAUUGCAGCCAUUUGCUAAAAUCAUUUAAGUUCUUUUUUCCCCCAGCGUACGCACAGCACCCCGUUUUGACAGAAAAAACAGAAUUGUACACAUUUUUGCAUUGUAGCUAAUACAGCCAUGAGUCUUCUUGGGAAAGAUGCAACAAGUUUUUCACACCUGGAUUUGGGGAUCCUCUGCCAUUCCUCCUUGCAGAUCCUCUCCAGGUCUGUCAGGUUGGAUGGUGAAUGUUGAACAAGCGAAACAUUUAAGGGGGUCUGAAUACUUUCUGUACCCAGUGUAAACCUGUGAGGUGAGUGGUCUGUGUAGGUGUUAUUCCAUAUGCUAAUGAACUUCAUUAAGAUAUGGAAUAACAUGAAAUGAAACGUUUCCAAAAGGCAGAAACAUGUCUAGUUUUACCUAGAAGAACUACUAAAUAUGGGAAUAUGUACUGAAUUUUUUUUUUUUUCUAAAAUGUCAAACGUUUUAGAAUUUGUGAAUUUAGAUACAUAAGACCAAGUCCACAGGAUUACAUCUUUAUUUUAAAAUGCAUAACUUUAAAUUAGCAUCCAAACUGCAUCCAAAAAUGACUUUUGAAAAUUGUUUUAGUUUGUAAAAUGCAGUGUGUUGCUGUAAUGCGAAUAGAUAAAAACUCACUUAGAUUCUGAAUGGUUCUAAUCACUACAUAUCCCUCCCUUAUUUAUCAUGCUCCCUCUCACACAACCUUUCAGUCGAAAAACAUGUUGCCCUUAACUACCAGCUGUCUGUUCAAUGAGGAUACUGAAUUACAUGCAGUUCUUUUGUUGUCGUCUGUUAGCAGCUGUUACGCAGUUAAAUUCUGCUUUUUAUCAUGAUACUGACUACAUUUACUACAGGUGACCUGGUAUUUGUGCAAUCCAGCUUCAUUCUCAGUUCCCUGUUCAUGUAAUGUGUAGGUCAGAUAUGUUGAAAUGGCCAGAGAUUAAUUCUGAUACUGCAACUCUUUCUACAUUAUAAAAAAGUAGUAUUAUAAAUGUAAGCCUCCCAAUCCAAACUGUGUUGUUCCGUACUCUGUGUCUGAUCGUGUUUUGUGUCCCACAUUAAAGUUUCCCUCUUUAUGUUGUUUAAAA